UUUGAUUUUCAUGAAAAUUGUGCUAAUUGAAAUAUAUAAACUCCAACUGAGUACUCAUAUUUAUUUGUUGUAUUUACUCCCAAAAUUCCAUCUAGUCCAACUUCAUCCAGAUGAUAUACUCCGUGACUCUAGAAUCCUCCUCCAGCUAAAACCCUAAACCCCCGGAUUACUACUACAAUAUAAACAAACAGAAAGGAGGAGGAAACUCCUCUAUCUCAGUUCUCCCUCGCCUCCAAACCAACUUCACCAUUUCUCGGAUCAUAACAAUUCUAGAGUGAGACAGAUACAGAGAAAAUGGCAAGUUCAACCGCUUCAAGGCUGCUCAGCUUCACCAAACACAACUCAGCUCUCCAAAGCCUCAUUCGCAGCCACCUCCUCCGCCCUACCGCCGCCACAACCCCCUCAAUCACUCAUCCACCCUGCCGCACUGCAGAGCGGCAAACUCCAGACCUAAAGCCAACGCAGAGGUCCACAAAUAUAACAGAGAUAUCGGAGAAGAUGAUGAAGAACCCAGUUGCAGAUAUUAGGGGUUUUUAUCCAUCUGGGAUGGUGGGUUUCCCUGGGGUUGAUCAAUCUGGGAUUAUGCAAGCCCGCAAGGAUAGUGAUGGGUCCUUCGGUUUUGUUUCUGAGACUGAACUUGAAGAUAGUGAUGGAGAUUUUGGGUUUGACUUGAACCAUUACGAUGAUGCGGGCGAGGACGACGACGAUCUCUUCCAGGAUACCCACGACGAGGAUGGCUCUGACUCCGAGUAGCAUACUUUUGUUUUCAUCACUCAUUAUCUUUCAUAUUUUGCUAUUCCAUUAAUCGCAGAAGAUUAUUAACCAGCUAUGGUAUUAUUAUUAUUAUUAUUAUUGGCUACAAAAAUGUCUGUGGAAGUUGGCAAUUGUAGAAUGACAAUUCGAAUUAGGCUUUUUCCUUUUGAUCUAUGAAAUGUUACUCCUCCUCUGUGGAUUUCUCUUGAAUAUAUAUAUAUAUAUAUGUAUGUAUGUAUAUGUGUGUGUGUGUGUUCUACUUUGCGUUUAAUUGAACAUUUCAAGUAAAAUUGGACUAAAAUGAAUGAUUCAGUGUAUAUUUUGGGACAAUAGAAAAAUGAGGGACAAAUUAACAUCUUGUUCUGCUGCCUCAAGAAUGACUCGAGAAACUUGGACCAUUUCUUUCCAGCUUCAGAAUCGUUAUAUCUGUCGCUACAGAACAAUUCUGUGUCUUGCAACCUUUUCUUCUUCUUCUUUGUAUUUGAGCUGCUGAGGGUACAGUACACUAUUGUUAAGCGCCUGCACGUGGAGGACAUUAAAACACUAACUAUUGGGUACAACGGUGAAGAUCAUCAGCAACUAUAUAUAAAUGUCCUAUUCCUGUACCUGGUGUUGGUUGGGCAUUCAAAUUAACACUACUGUUUGUAAUGAAAAAGCGGUCUAAUCAAAUCGGUUUGGUUGAAUCGGUAUGAUUUCUGAAUUUUUCGCUGUUCAUUCUGGCUUUAAAACUUUCAAUCCAAAUCUAUGCAAUACUGCUCUUUCGUAGAAAUUAUUAUACAUGAAUGAAUGUGCAGAGAAGUUUCUAUCUUUUCCAGAUUGCAACAGAUUCCCAUCUCAUCUGAUGCUGCCCUACCUUCAACGAAUAAACCAUACCAUGAUACAGAGACAGCUCUUAGUUUGUGCUAGGGUCCUAUCUUAUAUAUUUUUUUUAACAAAAUAAUUGCUACAAGUCUCAUAUUUUUCUUUUUGAAUUGAAAGGAAAACUAUCGAAUUGGGUGAGGGAGAAGGGGAGUUGAUUGUGUCAAUUGGGAUGCUUCUCCACAGGACAUAUAAUCAAAACAGCCCGCCCGUCCAAAUUUACAUGUUUUUUUUUGUUGUUUUCAUCGACUCCAUUAGGGCCAUUAAGCUCAAAUUUGAGGUUGAGUUUCAAAGUUCAUCGAGUUCGAAUUUGAUAAAAUUGAGUCGAGUUUAAUUGAUUAGAUCAAAUUUUCAAUUCGAUUUAGUUCAUUUAUAGUCUCAAGUCUCGUCAAAACACUAUGCGAAAUUGUACAAGGGAACACACACACAUAUAUACACACUCAUUUUCUUUAAUAAGAAAAUCCUUGAGGAUUUAGUUUUUGGUCAUCGGAUGGGAUGGUACAAAUUAUUUUGAAAAAUUGUUAGCACUUCAAGAAUUAUCAUUCCACGUUUUGGAUAUUAUACUGGAUAGAGAUCGCUCAAUGACGGGGUUGUUGUUAUAUCUUUUUUUUUCCCUGUUUUUGUAUACUUUUAGAGUUAGAAAUUACUGUUUUCAUAUAAGCAAAAAGGCUCAUGUUUCAACUCUUUUUUUUUUCUUUUUUCUUUUUUCUUUUGAGAAAUGUUAUUUGCACUUCCAUUUUUAUUAAUCAUACUUUCACUAUCAUUUUAAUCAUACAGUUUUCAUUUGUUAGACUAUAUGAUAAAAUAAACGAUGAGAGUACAAAUAACAAAAAAUAGGAUGCAAAGAAUAUUUUCCUUUUUUCGUUUUGGCUUCUAUCAACGUGAGUUACAAUAAUGAUCCAACAGGCAAAUGAUUGUGCAAACGAGUUAUCUAAGAAGAAUCACUAUUUUUCUAUUCAAGAAGAUUAAUUAAUUAGUCAUUAGGUGCUUUUGUUUAGUAUAUUUAGAGUAGAGAACUUUUUUAAAAAAGGUAAAUUGUUGUUUUAAUGUUUCAUUAUCACAUUGACUUUUGAUUUAAUGUUUAAAACAUUUUGUUCAGGACUUUUGUUUGUCCCCAUUAUAAUUUUUAAUUUUAGCAUAUAUUUUCUACUGUCUCAAAUUAUUUUCAAAUAAUUACACUUUUAUAAGAGAUUAUAAAUUUUAUCUACUAAAUGAACAUCUUUGUUUUCAAGAUUCAAUGACAGGUUUGAAAAAAGAACUGGUGCAAGUGCACAGGAUAAGAAGUAUAUUUGGUUAGGCUAAUCCGCUAAUGUAUUAACAACUAUUACAAAAAAAAAAAAAAAAAAAAUAAAAAAUCAAACAAGUCUAUAUUAGUGAUUAGACUAACUGUGACCCAAACCCGCACAGCUCACAACCCCCGACCCAAAACUGAGUAACUGGAAAUGGACCACAUUGGAAUUCAACCAACCCGUCUUCUGACCCUACAAAGACCCGACCCAAAGCAUCAUAAGAGUUGCGCCAUUGGCUCGACUCCUGAACUCCUUCCGGCCAGUUGGGACAUUGAGCUUGAAGUCUUGAACUACCACCGGCAGUAGCAAUGGAAACGGCGGAAACUUUUUUAUACGAAACCCUAAGUCCUCUGAGUCUCACUACCAACACCGACGAACCGCCGCCAACUUCGUCGCCGCCAUGUUCGUCUUCAAACCCAGAUGAAGCCGAACCCUAUGUUGUCUUCCGCAACGAAAUUUCUCUUUUAUCUACUCAGUCCUCGACAACUGAAACCGCUGCUCCUGAAUAUUUCUCCCUCGACGUUAUUGAUGUCGUAGAGAAUGUUAUAGAUACUCCAAUUCCGACUCCCGAGGCGUCUCCAGCUGCAACACCAGUAAAAGAGCCGGAGCGGGAGAGAAGACUGGAGGGGAAUUGGUUUCGAGCUAACUGUCGCUUCAAAAGUCCCAUGCUUCAGCUCCAUAAAGGUAUCUUUUUGUCAGCAUUUAGAGUUUGAUAUUAUCUCUUUAACUGCACUUUUCCUCCGCAUUUAUGGAAAUUAUAGUGCUAUUGCUUACGUAAUUGGAAGAAGCCAGUUGCUUUGAAGUUUAUCUGGAGCAUCAGUGGUGAACUUGAAUUGUUCAUGCUUCAGCUUUUCGAUUACCAGUCGUUGGAAAGAUUCUACUAGACACAAAAGAAAUAAUUUAGAUUAAAAAAAAUUUAAUGGUGUUGGAUUUGGACACAGUUUUAGGUUUUUUCAUUCCAAGUUUUGGUUUAGGGUAUUGAGUAUUUCCACCUACACAAUGUGGGGAUUUUCUGUUUUGUGUAUUGAUGAGCUGCUAUGAAGAGAGAGGAGAGAGGCAGAGCACUCUGUCCGGGGAUGUGAGUUGGUGAUUUAGUCUUCUGAUUUUGAUGUUGCAGAAAUACUAGAUUUUUGUGACUUUCUAUCUCCAACUCCAGAAGAGCAGGCAUCUCGGAAUGAAGCUAUAGAUGCUGUUUUUGAUGUUAUUAGAUAUAUCUGGCCCAACUGCAAGGUUCACCUCUAUCCCGAGCCAUCGUCCCUUUCAUGCAAGUAUGUAAUUCAACUUAUAAUUUCUGCAACUGCAUUUUAAUGUGUCUCUGUUGAUCUUGCAGCCAGAAGUUUUUGGGUCAUUCAAGACGGGGCUCUAUCUUCCUACAAGCGACAUUGAUGUAAUUUGACUACUCCCAUGUGCUUUUCUGUAUCUUUACCUUCAAUUUGCCAAGUCCACAUUUCCCCAAAGAAUAAAAUUGAUAAUGCAAAAAGGAAAGUUAAAGUGAGGAGCUUAGGUUUAUUGUUUUGUGUGUUUAACUAGCUUUUGUAGUCCUACAUGCUAAGGACUCAUUUUGAUGUGUCUUGUUUGUGUUGAUUCCACCUGCCUACAUAUUCUUUCAUUGUUAUAAAUCUGACUUUACUAGUCGUAUGUUUAUGAAUAUGUGGGCUGUCAAUCCUUUUCUACUUGCUUGAGAUGUGAUUGAAGUUCCUCAAGUUGCUUGAUUAUAUUAGUUUUACAUACAUAAUUUGAUCACAAAGCUUUGCUUCUUGUUGACAAACUGACAGGGAAGUGGAUACUCAUUUUAUUCUAGUUUGUGUUUCAGAUUCUGGAAAGCGAUUCUUAGGUUAUUGUUUACAUUAUUUGAAAACUGAUUAGUUGUAGAUGAAAUAUCAAAGUUGAACUUAUUUAACACCAGUGGUGCAUGACAGGUUGUGAUAUUGGAUUCCAAAAUUUCUCGUCCUCAGAUUGGUUUGCAAGCUCUUUCUAGAGCCUUAUCACAAAGAGGAAUUGCAAAGAAGAUUCAGGUCAGAUAAAUGUAACAUUUGAAUGUAUUCUUUGGUGAAAACUUUCUCGUUUGACCAGCUUUGGCGUGACUGCUUUUUUAUUCUAUUAGGUGAUUGCAAAGGCUCGUGUGCCAAUUAUCAAAUUUGUGGAGAAAAGAAGUGGUUUCGCAUUUGAUAUAAGGUCUAUUCUCCAAAAAUGUCCUGGCUAAUAUUGCUGAUCUUACUCCAAUUCAGCAGAAAGCAAGAACUCUGAUUGUCUAGAUUCGCAUGCAUAUUAACUGUUGUUUUGAUUGAAUAAUUAAUGAAGGGUUUGCUGUGCCAGUUCCAAUUUCAUCACUAUUCGUCUGAUUGAGCAUAGUUGAAAGUAGCUCUUCCGCUGAAGCAUCGAUCUGUUGUUUAACCUUGAUGUAUUUGUGGUCUUGGAUAUAAGAAAGAAUAAGGAACUUUCUUGUAGGCACUCAUAAGUUCUCUAUUAUUUUCUUAAAAUGUGAUAUUCUUUUUCCCUUUUUUGCAGUUUUGAUGUACAAAAUGGACCAAAAGCUGCUGACUUUAUAAAGGUUUCUGGAUAUCUUUUGGACCAAUAUAGUAUCUGCAUGGAUAAUCUAGUGCCUUUACUAAUCACUGGUCUUUUGUCUUUUAGGAUGCUGUAGCUAAAUGGCCUCCUCUGCGACCAUUAUGUUUAAUUUUGAAAAUAUUUCUACAACAGAGAGAGUUGAAUGAGGUGGUGUUCUACUUUUUACUCUCCAAUUGAUUUACCUGCUAUUACUUGGUUGUUCUUGUUCUUAUAUUCGUUGCUUGUGGGGUUUAAGGUAAUUGUUUCUUUUUUCUGGUUUUAUCCUGUAGGUGUAUAGUGGUGGGGUUGGUUCCUACGCGCUGCUGACCAUGCUGAUAGCUAUGCUGCAGGUAAUUUAGUCAAGUUUGGAAGAAAUGUACAUCAAUAAGGCGUUCUAGUAAAUUCACAUUGUGGUUGUCAAUAUUUUCUGUAAAGCCAGUCUCAAUGCUCAGAUGUCAUGCUAAAGGAUUAUCUUCUUCUUUUCGUCAUUCAAAUUUCGGCCAUUACAAUUUGCCUUACUUUUUCUUAUUCAAAGUAUAGCCCUACGUAAUUAACAUCUGCUUGCUGCUUGACAUUUUGAAGAUCAUUAAUUGUGAAAUGCCUUUUUUGUGAAGGAAAAUCAAGGUUUGUGGCGAUACAAAGUAAUAAUGGAAUGGGAUACUGACAUUAGUUAAUUAUUGGUGGAGUAAAAAGAGGAGAGUAACUGGACUAAAAGUUAAUUCAUUUUCUUUUCUGAUAUAUUAUGUUAUGAGAAGUUGGCAAUAGCACCUCCAUGGUGCUUGUCUGAUGCAAACUCCUAACUGCACCGAAAGUUAGUUGAUUUUAUUAGUAUGAGUAGUUGAUUGCUGAUUACUUUGGUUCCCUUCUUCCCUUGUCUUUUAAUGCUUGAUUGUUUUUCGUUGUCUCAUGGUAUUUAAUUAUGCAGAAUUAUAAUUAUCGCCAAGCUUCUCCGGAACACAAUCUGGGAGUUCUUCUGGUGUGUUUCCCAUAACAUAUACUACUAAUGCUUAUGCUUGUCAUGUUAGCCGUUUUGUUAUAGUGCAGCUGCAGUUUAGCAUUUAAUUGCAUGUGCCAAAAGUUGAAUUUAUUCAUACUACAGUUACACUUUAGUAUCUAAUGCAUGAGCCAAAAGUCAAAUAUUUGUAUUUGUGGCUAGUCUUUGGUUUUAAGUUAAUGCUUUUGAAAAUAGUACAGGGAAAUAAGAACUUUUAAGUAGUUGAUAUUUUGUUUCCUUUGAACGAUAGGUGAACUUUUUCGAUAUGUAUGGCCGCAAACUGAAUACAGCUGAUGUUGGUGUAUCUUGCAAUGGAGAAGGCACCUUCUUCUUGAAGAGCAGGAAAGGGUGAGAAACUUAUCCUAUGUACUUGUUUAUUUGUUGCCGUUAUUUCGUUUUGGCUUAAGCUUGUAAUUUGAACUUUAUAUCCGUCUCUUUUAAUGUUUCAGGUUUUCUAUCAAGGGAAAACCUUUUGUUAUCUCCAUUCAGGAUCCGCAGGUUAUUUGAAGUUUUUAAUGUGUCUUCAUUCAUGAUACUUUUCUAUCUUGUUACUUUCAGAGUUGCAGAUGGACUGGUCUUAAAUUUCUAAACAGCUGGAUAACAAUUUUUCUAUUUCUUGAUUUGUUAUUGAGCUUGGACUGCUCGAGUCUGAAUUUCUUGCUGUCCCAAGAGUAUGUCCAUCAGGACAGUGCAGAGGGCUUUACAAUUAGUUUGGGGCAGAUUUGAGCUGCUGAAGGAAUUUAUUCAGUUCCUGAGUGAAUUGAAGACAUGCAUUAUCUUCAAUUCAAAACCUCAUAGGAUGCAUGCUCUUUCAAUUUCAUGCUGUUGAAAGUUUAAGUAGAUUCAGCUGGUAAAGGAUAUAUCAGAUUUUUUUUGUUGAUUCUCUGCAUAAAGAAUGUGAAGUGGCAACAUAGCUUUUGUUUUGAUUCUCUGCAUAAAGAAUGCAAAUUAGUCCAAGACUACAUGAUCUAUCUUCUUCUUCUUUCCCUUUUUUUUUUUUUUUGUGUUUGGGGGGGGGGGGGGGGGGGGCGGGGAGGUGGUUGGUUUGUUCAAAAAGAACUAUGUUAUCUUGUAGGUAUGUUUUUUGUGAUCGACAUUAUCUUAUGAAUCUGAUGCCUUUACUGUUGUAGGCCCCAGAGAAUGACAUAGGAAAAAAUUCCUUCAACUAUUUCCAGGUAUCCCCUUGUUCAUUUAUGAUUCUCUAUUUUGAGUUUCUUUUCAUGUGCCAGAUGUUGGCUGCUAAAACAAGUCAAUUUGCCAAAGGAACAGAAACUGAGAGUUCCUUUGGGUUCCAUUUCUACUUGGUUUAGCAUCACGUAGUUAGGAAAGUCAAAAAGUAAUGCUAUUUGAGCUACUUUGUACCCUAUCCACUGAUUUAUAGCUGCCUGUACAUUAUGGCUAGGAAACAAGAAAUUGCCUGCAAAACUAUCUGCUCUAUUUGCUGAUUCUCAUGUCAUCCUGUUGAUUUUAGAAGUAAUCAUCAUUGAUUUUACAUCUAUUUUUGUCUGGAGGAAAGAAAUGGUCCUCAACUGUAUUCAAGCACAGCAAGCCAUCGUCCACCAUAUCAUAAAAAUGUUUGUCUUACCUCUGAUCUUUGUCAAGUUUCCAGAAACUGAAGUUCUUAUAAUUCCUAUGAUGUAGACCCAUGUGAUUUCGUGCAUUACGUUUCUGACAUCUUCAUGCACCUAGGAGUUGGUGUUGGUAUUAAUCAGUUUUAAUCAUGAUUGAUUCUCAGACCGACCCUAACUUAUGUUGGCUUUUGCAGGUUAGAUCUGCUUUUGCAAUGGCUUUCAGUUCUCUGACAAAUGCAAGAGCUAUUCUGGGCAAUUGUCCCAACAGGAGCAUUCUUGGUACCAUUAUAAGGCCAGAUGCAGCGCUGCUAGAACGGAAAGGAGGAUCUAAUGGGGAGGUGACAUUUAAGAAGUUGCUUCCAGGUGCGGGAGAGCCACUGGCUGAACAAAAUGGUGAUCACAGGGAGAUAUAUUGUAACUGGGAGUUGGGUGAUGAGGAUGACGAACCACUUCCCCGGGGAAAUCCAAUUUCUGGAGAUGACAGUGAACAUUCCUCAGGAAAGAAGAGGAAGAAAUCACUUCAGAGGAAGGCUGUUAAGAAGGUGAAGCAGAGUGGGGAUGAUAAAACUGUCAGACAUGGAAAAAUUAGCUCAGGGAAGAAGUCUAUGAAGGAUUGGAGACGUCAUCAAGAUGGUGGUGAUAGCAAUGGAUACAGAAGCCAUGAUAGGGUUUCAUCACUGAGGAGGCCUGCUUGAUCAAGCAAUUUCCGAGCAUCCAUCUCUCACAGUCGUAGAGCAGCAGCAAUUAGGAAUCACAGAGACGAUCCAUGAUGCGAAUGCUUCUUCCUGGAGUUUCUAGUAAUUGUGCAAUUACAAUUAUGGCGAUAAUAUUGCUUCUCAAAAAAUAGAUCAGGGAAACUUACCAGUUAGACCUUUAGCCAGGAACCUUGAUGCUCUGCCCUGGAUCUUUCCUUGGUGGGACUUGCGGGGUGGAAUUGGUGCUUCAAGCUCUUAUUGCUAAGUGCAUGAUUGAUCAUCAGUCUGCCUUGGAAUCCUCUGAACCAUGGCGGAGUAGCAGCAGUGUCAAAAUGCUCAUCGCUUAAGGUGUUGAAGCUAUCGAGGAUUUUCAGCCAUAAUUUGAGGAAAGAGUAGGGAAUUUAAUGCUGCUGUAACUCGGUAAGUUCUGUUGGAAAAACCUUAGGUCAUACUUGGACUGUAUUUGUCCUACAUUUAUACAUCCAGCAUCAGUUCAGGUGCUAAAUUUUUGUUUUUGUUACAUUUUUAGAGCCUACGUGUUAAUAUAGCAGCUUCAACAUGUAUACAAGUAAGAACCUUUUUUUUUUUUUUAACAUUUGUUUGGAUGCCAGGUAAUGACAUAUUACCGUUUAACGUGUCCGGGGUAAUCUGCAAGUCAUUAGUCACGACACGGUGCAUGGUAGCUGUAGCUGGGGGGACAAGAAACAUUAUUGAAUAUUCAUUGUAUCACAUUCAUGACGACCCUUGUAUAUCAUCUUGGUAAAAAACCCUCCCUAGCUUUUAUAUAUAUAUAUAUAUAUAUAUAUAUAUAUAUAUAUCUGAUCUGCAUCUGGAUCGGGUGGGCCGCCAGGGAGUUAUUAAUUAUUUAAGUCAAGAAAAAUAACGUUGGUUAAAACACAAUUAUGCGUCGUGCUUUCCCGGCCAUUUAAUAAGCUCUCGCAUUCUUGUACUGAAAUAUAUAUAUAUAUAUAUAUAUUGGGUACUUGUCGCUAUAAAUUGCUAUUGUCUUGAACUGGUGAUGCAAAUUUUGGAUGAGCAAAUCGUGGGCGUUAAGAAGCCGAGGAUUCAAAAUUCAUGCUUUGUUUAUUUUGUCAUUAUGAUAGUUGAAAGGGCAAGAAUAGAAGACUAUCAACUAUAUAUCUCUUAAUCUAUGAGUACAUUAAUCUAACUGCCUUCAACUUCCGACUUAAUUAUUGUUGCAAGCGCAUAACAUAUUGACAUCCAACUGCAAAACAGAUCAACAUGCACUUAUUAUUAUUGUUUGCUUUGCAGAGUGGGCCACUUUUAUCCCUGUUGAUUGAUCAUAAACACAUUUCGCCCCUUUUGUUUUAAUUUUUAGAAUAAUAAUAUAUUUAAUCAGUCAAUUAUGACUAAAUGAAGCGCAUGAGGGGCGAGUCAAAGGGCUCUCAGCAUAAUUUGGGCUAGAGGGAGGUACUGAGUGAACCAUCCUGGUGGCCACCGCCUAGUUUUGUGGGGGUGAAAAUCUUACCUCCCACCAAAAUAUCACAUUUAAGUGAUGUGCUUAAAAAAAAUUCAAACGGAUGUAUUGUGUAUCAAUUUGAUUCAGUGAUAGUUUAAUCCCUUUCGAAUUAUUUUUGGACCUCUUUAGAUCUACUCUCUCCCCCUUUUAGUGUAACAUAGAUUAGAUUAUAUAAUUAUCGUCGUCUUUGCAAACAAAAAAAAAAAAAAAAAAGGAAGAAGGAGGUAGCGAGUGACCAGAGGUGUCUCAGUAUAAUUAUUGUUGUUCAAUUAGAAAGCUUAGCGAAUGUACGCGAAAAGGAAAAAAGGAGAAUUGUGUAAAUUCGCAGUAGUCAACGUAUGAUAAGACAGAAGGGAAGAAAAGGCCAAAAAAAAAAAGAAAGAAAAAAGAGAGAGAAACAAACAAAUGUCGAAAUAAGCUUAGACAUCGGGGUUUGUCGAUCACUGUCCCAGACUCCAAGUUACCUUUGCGAUAGUUCUUUUCUCUCCCCGAAUUAUUGUACUGAAUCAGUAGGCUCCUUGAUUCGAGUGCCAUACUGGACACUAGAAAAUGAAUCCAAUGUCAAUCUGUACGCCGUCGUCGUCGUCAUCGUCAUCGUCAUCUUCAAGCUCAACUAAAGCCUGGAUAUUUCACGGCAUUGCUGUUGGGGCAGCUGUAGCCGUGGCUAUCGGAGCUCACGCUUACCUUUAUCUCCGCCGUCCUGGGAAGUUUCGGACGCGGGUCGUUGGAAUUAUACCCGCCCGUUUUGCUUCCUCUCGCUUCCCGGGCAAGCCACUUGUUCAGAUCCUCGGCAAACCCAUGAUCCAGGUCCUACUCACGACCCUCUUUACUUACCCGCCCCUCAAUUUUCUAUAUUUUUGUGAUUAAAUUUUCAUUUCUGGAGAUUGUUGCAAAAGGUUGACGAUUCAUGAUUUAUUAGUUCCCAACUUUCCUGGCGUUGUUUUAUGUUGAUUGUUCAUUUGAAUAUCAUCACCACGCUAUCCAGAUGGUGAAAAAAUAAACAUCGAAAAAAGAUGAAUAGAAAGAAAGUGUGAUAAACCUUGGGAGGCUAUAUAUUUUUUGCAUGAACUGCUACUGAGAUUUUCUUAUGCUGAUUUAUCAGAGAACAUGGGAAAGGGCUAAAAUGGCUUCCUCAUUGGACCAUGUUGGUAGGGCUUCAUCUUGUAUAAUCUGUUGUGCAUUUAUAUGGUGUAUUCUAUAUUUUAGGCUUAAUUUUUCUCGUGAUUAAUUGGAUUUUUUUUGUGGUAUAGUGGUGGCAACGGAUGAUGAGAAAAUUGCUGAUUGUUGUAGAGGAUUUGGUGCUGAUGUGAUAAUAACAUCAGAGUCUUGCCGAAAUGGUAUCAGUCUGUUUCCUUUGUUGUGCUUUUCUCUCUAGUUUUGAACGUGUUGACAGUGUAGCUGUAUAUACUUGCUGAUGUGCAGGCACGGAGCGGUGUAACGAAGCUCUUCAAAAGCUGGAAAAGAAGUACGAUAUUGUUGUUAACAUUCAAGGAGAUGAACCUUUGAUUGAACCUGAAAUUAUAGAUGGCAUUGUCAAAGCCCUGCAGGUGAAGUUGGUCAUUUUGAUUUCUUUUCUUCUACUGGAUUAGAACAUUAGAACAACAAAUAGGCUAUUGAAUCUCUUACUUAUGGAUGCCAACAAAUACUUAAUGCUGUAGAAUGUAUCUGCAGUAGAAGGUUAUAUUUGGCUCAUUGGGAAGCAUCUGAUGUUUAAAUCUGACUUUCCAACAAAUAGUAAGGCGUUAGAAAUAAGCUUUUCUCACUCUAUGACUUUGUGCGAGUCCAACAGGCCCAACGCUCAGUGACGUGAAUUCUCUUAUUAAGAAGUAUUCCAAUUUUUUUUCUUUUGAACCAUGCUGAGAGGAAAGGAACUGGGCAUAACUCUCAGUGAAGUGAAUUUCCUUAUUAAGAAAAAUUUUGAUUUUUCAUCUUUUGAACCAUGCUGAGAAGAAAGGAAGCUAUUCCCAUAGCAUUUACUAGCUAUACACUGGAAAAAAAAUACUAGCUAUACCCCCUGCUGAGGCAUAACCUUUUAAACUUUAUUUUCCUGUCAGUUUGUGACCACCAAGAAGUAACCCUCUAAAUUAGCUUAGAGAUACAUAUCUAUCAGAGCUUGUUUUUUUAAAUUACACUGCUUGAGUUUUGUUUUAUAUUGUAACCAAUGUUAACUUCCAUUGAAUGGUUGAUUAGGGUGCCCCGGAUGCUGUUUUUAGUACUGCAGUGACUUCCCUGAAGCCUGAAGAUGCAUUCGAUCCGAAUCGUGUGAAAUGUGUGGUUGAUAACCAUGGUUAUGCCAUCUAUUUUUCACGGGGGCUCAUUCCAUUCAACAAGUUUGUGCUCUAAAUUCUACGAUUCGGCUGCAAUUACGCUGCUAAUGCUAUAGACACUAAAUCUGGAAUCAUUUCUGUCUUAUGGAUACAGGUCAGCAAAUGUUAAUCCUCAGUUUCCAUAUUUGCUUCAUCUUGGGAUUCAGGUACCGGCAUGAUAUCAUUUUGUUUGCACGUGCCACUGUAAGAGCCUAGAUUAACCAUGUAAUUACAAGUUUUGACUCUGUCUUUUUAAUGGCCAGAGCUAUGACUCAAAGUUUCUAAAGAUUUAUCCUGAAUUGACACCAACACCACUUCAACUGGAAGAGGAUCUCGAACAACUGAAAGUCCUUGAGAAUGGCUAUAAGAUGAAGGUGCAAUGGAGAUUCUCCUUGUUUCUUGUUCUUUUGAAUCUUUUCUGUGCUUUAUUUUAAGUUUUCUUUCAAAUUCUUCUCCCAUUGAAAUAAGGAAUAAAAUGAAAAAUGGAUAAAGUUCAUUGCAGCCUUCGUCCCUCAUGCUUCCUUUUACUACUUUUGGUGUCAUAAAUUUUCCCCGGAGGCACAGGAUGAGGCAGUUAAAUUCCUUGUGUAGUAAAAUGGACUCGAUCCCCACUUCUGUAUAACCUACUGCAGUUAUUGCACAUUCAUGCAGACAAAAAGAAGCAUAGAUUUGAGUUCAUAAUAACAGCAGGUUUCAUUAAUAGAAAGAAAAGCGAAGUUGUCCCACAUGAGUUCCUAAUUAAGAAUAGAUUUGAUGGGUACAUUCUUUAUCCUCAUAUAGUACCCUUUUUAUUGUUCUUUUUCGCUUUGUAGGUGAUAAAAGUAGACCACGAGGCCCAUGGAGUAGAUGCCCCUGAAGACGUGGAGAAGAUAGAACAUUUCAUGCGCGAGAGAAACUUGUCGUAAUUGUGGAUGAUUGGAGAAAUCAUCAAGGGUUUUAAGUGCACAGUUCACUUAUUACUUUUAGUUAGAGACAGAAAAUAGUUUAAGAACCAUGUGGGCGGUAAAGAUACAUAGUUUCAAAUGGUAAAGUAACUGAUGUAAAUUUGAUUUAGUAGUCUGUUUUGUGUUUGAUGCUUUGGUCCUAGUGGGGACUCAUGACUGUUCUGGAGCUUCUCUAAAAGGGUUCAGAAGUGUAAUUUGUUGACUUAUUUGCUAUAUUUGUUUGAGCGAAUAAAGCUGCGUCAUAUUCCGUCUGAUCGAGAUUGGGAGUUCUUGGUAUGUAUCAGAGCAGGAAACUGAUUUUUGAAUUACAACAGUAUAUUUUGUCAUUCUAGUGUUUUGGAAUUUCUAAUUUAAGACUAUUUACUCUGUACAAAUUAUUAAUUCGAUGUUGGGAUGAUAUGCAAGAGAAACAUUUUACCAAGGUAGUGUUGAGUGUAAGACUGCUAAGGAGUCGAGUUGAGUUUUGAACUUAUCGAGUUGAACUUGUUAAUGUGCGAGCUCGAGUUCAAGCUCGAGCUUGAACUGAAAAAAUGAAACUCGAACUUGACUCGGCUUAGGAAAAGGUGAGUUCGAACUCAACUCGUUUCUGACUUCCAAGCAGUUUGAGUAUCACUCCAUAUUCUGGUUCGCUAGGAGCUUGAAGUGAGCUCGAUGUUAAUUGAUAUAGGGAUAUUUUUAUAAUUUCACUUCAAUUUGAGCUUUUCAAACGGUUCGUUGAGUAAUCGAACCUAACAAAUGGUUGCUUGAGCUCGAUUCGUACAUACUAAUGCUCGGCUCUAACUUAGUGUUGAUCUAGCUCAAAUCGAGCUACUCGUGAGCCUGUCAAUUUCAACCGUAGUUGUUUGGAAUGGAAACUUGAAACUUCUCUGUCUUGUCCUCCAAAAGCCAGAAGGGAGAUAACGUCCCGGAAAUGGAGCCACAGCAGGGAUAUGACUACAGAGUGCAAGAGUUGAAGCGUGAAAAUAAGAGCGGCGUCCUCAAUCCUCAUGUCAUCAUCCAUAUUUGAAAUCGUAGCCUUUGCAUUUACUCUGGAUCUAAAUUAAUACUUAUUAGUCCUAUCGAAUCCUUCGAGUGGGCCUUUGCUUUUACUCUGGGUCUAAAUUAAUACUUAGUGCCUGUUUGAUAACAUAAAAAAAUGCUAAAAUUGAAUUCAUUUAGACAUUCAGAUAUUGUAGGUGUUUGAUAAAUAAAAAUUCACCUGCUGAACUUAUUAAGUGGUGCUGAAUUUGUAUGUAUUUUUUUCAGCACAAGAAUCGUAGUUGAAUGCUUAAUUUGAUAAGAGUCAAGAGAUUUACUUCAACUAUUUUAUCUUAUCUAUCAAAUAUAUCCCUGUUUGUUAAUUACCUUCAAAAUCCUUAUUUAAUUAAACAACCUAAUAUUCCCUAUUCAAAAUCCUUAUCUAAUUAAACAAAACAACCUGAUAUUCUCUAUUUAAAUUUUUUUUUUAACAAUAAUAUUUUUUUGCAGUAAUUUUCAUCCACAAACAUUUAUAUUUUGAUUUUUUUUGUGCAGAUAAAUAUUAUUUAUGUGAUGCAGUUUAUCCACACACACGUGGCUUUAUGACACCAUAUCGAAAUAUUAGAUAUUGGUUGUCUGAUUUUCAAAAUGCUUCUCAUCCAAGAUCAAAAGAAUAACGCUUUAACCAAGUACAUGCAAGAUUGAGAAAUGUAAUUGAACGUGCUUUUGGAGUAUUAAAAGCUCAUUUUCCCAUUCUCAAAACAAUGAAACCAUACCCUUUUCCCACACAAAAAAACAUUUAUGCAUUACUCUUCACAAUCAUUGUUAUUUUCAUACCUAACAAUUUUAAGUUAAUUAAACCAUAGGUUCUAUUUCCUUUUUGGAUUAAAAGAUAAAAGGGCAAAAUUGUAUAAUUUAGCUUAUUAAGCAUUAAGUUAUGAAUAUUUAUCAAACAUUAUAAAUAGAUUCAGCAUUAAAAUUCAGACAUUCAUAUAUCUCUUUUCAGUGUUUAAAAUUCAGCAAAUUAAUUAUUUCAGAAUUCAGAAUUCAAAAUUCAGAUUCAGUGUUAUCAAACGGAGCCUUAGUCCUAUUGAAUCCUUCGAGUGAAUAUCCCCAAAUAAAAAAAAAAACUUUUUGAGUGAAUAAAACUCAAAAUAAAGGAGCUGCUAAACUCGUAUUUUGGGCCACUACGCCGACUUCUAUUUGAAGGUUUAACCACAAGAAUGUAAUGCAUAGCGGUCGAACAAAGCCGCAUGAUUCUAAUUGUAAGAAUUUUUCAGGCUUUAAUAUUGUGAUACUAUCUAACAUUCAAUUCAACUUGUUGAAAAGAAUACUACUGUAUAUAGAAUGCAACAUUUCAGAUACAUGUAAUAAAUUAGUACUACACAACCCUUCUUUUUUUUUUUUGAAAAAAUUAGUACUACACAACUCAAUGAUCAUGUUGAAAGAAAAUUGCCUUCCAGAAAAGGCUGAGGUUAGGGAGAGGGGACACGCGAGGACCACGGCUCUAUAUUUAACAUCUUUUGGGGUACAGAAUGAAGUAAGCUAUCCUGGGAAACUGGACACUCUUUUAAAAUUCAUUGCUCCGUCAAAUCCCAAAAAUGAUACCGUACAGUAAUAAUAAUGAUUCAAAGCGUGUUGUGUUCAAUUCAUAUAGCCUUUGCGGAUACUCAUGUUGUAUGUUACUGUAGUGAAAUUCAUAACCAGAAGCAGAAGAAGCCAGCAGGCCACAGGCAGGGAUCCAGAGAGAGCAGGGGGUUAGGCAGCUGGAUGAUGAACAGGUAUGUAUAUCUCUUGUCAAUCAACAAGCAGAUAAGACAUGUCAAAUUGUCCAAUUGCUCCCCUUGUACCAAAUCCCUGGAUUUCGUUCCCUUUUAUUAGUCAAGUGCCCAUCUGAACUAAUGCACUACUGUCCAGUCGAAGGCCAAAUAAUUGCAGAAACAAAAAGACAGAAUAAAAAAAAAUGGGAAGAAGAAGCAAAUUUCAUACUCUCAUUUGUCAUUUCCUUCUUGGAUUGGGUGAUGAUUGGAUCACAUUUUAGACAAGAUCAAAACUUUAGAGCUUCUUCUUGCAGAAAAUAAGGACAGGAAUUAACUAUGUACGACUAAAAAUGCAAUUGAAGAUAAAAAGCAUCGCAUUUGCAUUCGUUACGCUGAAACUCUGACAAAGUCUAAGAAGCCCUAAUACUAAAUUACUAAUCCUAAAAGCAAAGAUUGUCAACAGUGCUCAAUUUUUGGUUAGUUGGGGGCGGGGGUUGGGGGGGGGGGUGCUGGGUUGUUGGGGCUGGGAGGUGUGAAAUAUCGUUCAGUUCAAUUGAUAACCAGCUGAACUUCAGUCUUGAAUAGAAGAAAAGACAGCGAAUCCAAAGAGAAAUACACAAACCCGCCUGGUGAAUGUGUGACAAAUGACCCGAAACUCUUCCCCACUACACAGUGCCAUGCCGGCCCAUACAACCCAUCAAACUCCUGUGUGAUUUUAAUAAAUCAAAUCAACAACCGACAACUAUUCAUUAAGGAGUUCGAAAAUUCAUUUAUAAUUGAUGGGUAGUUGUUAGUAAUAUUCAGUACCUUUUUGAGGGAACGAGCGAGGAGGGCGGGGCUAAGUCGAUGAGUCUGAGGAGUGGCGGCACCGGAGGUACCAGCAGCGACGAGUGAUCGGGUGUAGCGGAGUGCAUGCUCUUGCAUGGACACGGGCAUGUCUGAGGUUCUUAAUCGCACGUUUAGGCUGAUUGCUAUGGCUGCUAGCUUCAGUUCUUGUUCUGAUAGAGAGUUGUUGUUCUUCUCCUUGCUGUUGUUGUUGCUUUGAUCAGAAACAACAGGAAGCUGCUGCUGCUGCAACAUUUGUAAUGGUUUCUGAGGUCUUGACUUAGAGGAAGCUGCUGCUGCUGAUGAGAAUUGCAUGACUUUGGGUUGGGACUGCUGAUGGGAUUGAGAAGGCUUAUUUUUGGACUUGUUUUGAGUUGUUUCUUUCAUGAUUGUUAGAGGCGUAUGAAAAGAAUUGUUAGAGGUGGAUAAAGACACGAGAGAACUAGAGAAGAAGAGUUGUAGAAGCAGAGUUGAACUUUUUGACCGGGGAAAUAUGUGGAGUAGUUGGGGUUGGAGGAUUGGAAAUUGGAAUAUAAAGAAAGAUUUGAACUUUGACUGACAAUACAUGGUGAUAGAGACAGCAGCAGGCGAAAAAAAAAAAAACAGAUGAUAAUCCAAAUAGAGAAAAAUGCAAGACCUGCAAGAAUUAAUAAUUAGACUUGGUUGUGUUUAUUGCAAGUUCAUUUUUUUUUAUUUUCAAUUUUCUGCAAGGCUUUCUGUGUCUAUUUGGAUUUUGAGGAUUAGAGUUGGUGCUCCGCCCGGUGAAGAGGAGGAAAAAUACAAGUACACUGGACACUGCCUGGGGGAUGGUACACAAGAAAAGUGUGGGAUCAUCAAACCACAUAAAUGGUGUGGGGCGCAGCAGUUGCUGCAGCUGCGGACCAGUCUAAUUUUGUAGUACCAGCCAGUUAGGUUGGUGCUUUCCCUUUCCCAUUGCUGAAGAUUUCUCAUGAAUUACCAGCCGGAGUGACGGUUAAUCAAUCAACCCUCUUAUGGUUGUUUUCCAUUUUGCACUGAGCUAAGAGUAGAUGAUGAGUUUAACUUCCCCCUCAGAGUUCUCAAUAAUGCACUCCAAUUACAGUGAAUGUUUUUGAAACAUUUCACUGUAACUGCAUAUACGAAAAAUUUUUACUAUAAAAAUUUUUAAAAAUUUUUAAUAUAUUAUAUGAAUGAAAUAUUUUUUAAAUUAUUAUGCAUUACUGUAACAUUUUAUUUGAAAAGAAAAAUUUGCUAAAUUGAUCCCUAAUAUUUUCACAAAAAAUUUUUUUAAUCCCUAACAUUUAAAAUCAGUCAGAAUAGUUCCUAACAUAUAAAUUAUGAACCAAUUUGAUUCUAAUGCUCGUAUUUGCUCAUUUCUCUGAUUAAAAAUAGCACACCUCUAUCACGUGGGUAUAAUUUCAAGGGCAAAAUCGAAAAACAUUCGUUAUCCAUGGUUUUACAGGCAAAACCCUUUUUGGAUUCCUAUUAAUUUUCUCCCUUCCCUCGACACCAUUUUGCAAACUAGCCGGAAACUAUCAACAAAUUUCACCUUCUCAGUCAAAGCAGCUUUUGCACUUUCCUUGAUUUCCCGACUCCCGUAUCAAACCCCCAAGCCCUUCUUCAAUUUCACCAUACCUCUCAAAAUAAUUCAACAAAGUCUCAGAACUCAUCUCAGUUGGUUGGUAUAUUCUCCACCAAUUUUAUUGCUAACAAACCCAUCAAUUUUAUUGCUGGGGUUUUCUAGGGCAAGCAAGAAAGACUCAACAUUCUUGAAAGUAACAAAAUCAUAGACUUUUGAUAAAAAUCUUGCGGUAGGAUGGGAUGUCAUCAACGAUGGAAAUAACGGUAUGGAGAAUGCUAUGAUGGACAAUCGCAACUUCUGAAGGAUUCAACAAUUUGGGAUUUCGUGAAGGAUUGCAAAACGCAAAAUUUCACCUUCUUCGAACUUCAAGUUUUUUGGUUCUCUUGAGAUCAUCAGGCUUUGGUUUAGUGGUGAUGGUGGAAUGCAUCUGAUAGAGUAGGUAUAAGGAAAAUGACUCAAGAUUGACUCUAGGAGGAAUGGGUGGAGUUACGGAAGAGUAGGCAUUGAGAACUUUUAAACUUUGAAGAGAAUAUUCUCUUUCUUUCAGAGUCUAAAGCCAUGGAUUAACGAAUAUCUUUCGAUUUUGUCCUUAAAAUUAUAUCCACGUGACAGAGGUAUGUUAUUUUUAGUUAGAAAAAUGAGCAAAUAUGAGCAUUAUGAUCAAAAUGACUCAUAAUUUAUAUGUUAGAGACUAUUCUGACUGAUUUUAAAUGUUAUGGACUAAAAAAAAUUUUUACGAAAAUAUUAGGGAUCAAUUUGACAAAAUUUCCUUUGAAAAAAUAUCCAAUCCAAACGGAGAGAUUUUUUGUCCGUUGGCAUCGUCCAUUUUUAGUGACAAGAUAUUAGUCCAACGUCAAAGGAAUCAGAGCACAGUGAUGUGUUCUGCUUCUACAUGCUAAGGUCCUUGUUUCAAUGAUUGCUUUGUCAUUAAAUUUUCUUUUUUGAAAUGCUCUUUGGACAUAUUUUAAAUUUUUUUUUCUCGCAUACAUCAUCAUAUAAUUGUGUUUGGAUUACAUUUUUUUAAAUUUUUUGUAAAAAAUUACUAUAACGAUUUGAUAUAUGUAAAGUAAAAAGAUGAUUGAGAAAUGUGUUCAUGAAAAAUGUAGCAAUUUUUUUUUUGGAAACUGACAGUCCAAACAAGGCCUUUUAUCUAUAAAAAUUACGCCAAACUAUUGCCUUGACAUAUCUUGAGAUAUUAUAUAUGUAAAAUAAUUUUUUUAAAAAAAAUUGUAACCAUGAUCUAAAAAAAUGUUCAAUGGAUUUUUCAAGAAUGUAAAAAGGGAUAAUUUCAAAAACCUCGCUUGACACCUAAUUCCCCUAUACUUUUUAAAAUCUCAAUUAGCACCCUUGAAAUGAUAGUAUGGCCAUAUACUAAUAUCAAAGGUGAUGAAUUGUCAAUAAUGCCAUCAUAUUUAAAUUUUCUGAACUUGUUUUUCUUUCUCUAAAUUUCUUACUUUUCUUUAACAAUGUCAAUACAAACAUACAUAUAUAUAUACAAACAUAUAUAUACAUAUAUAUAUGUAUGUAUGUAUACAUAUAUACAAACAUACAUAUAUAUGUAUGUAUGUAUAAUUAAAUUGCAAAUGUCAAUAAAAUAUAGGAUUUAAUCAAUGAAAUAUUCAAUGCAUUUGGAGAAGAAUAGCUGCAGGUUCUUUUUAUUGUUUUCCUUUUUGGUGUUUAAUAACUUUAUUUAUUUAUUCUUAUUCAUGUAGAGCGCAUGAGAAAUAAAGUAAUUGAAACUCCAAAUAGUUUUUCAAAUUCUGACUUUUUCUAUAAUAAAAUUUUCAUAUUUUACACUCAUAAAAAAAGUCUGUCUAUUUUGAGUAAAUUUUUUGUAUGAUAUUGAAGUUGAAUUUCAUCUGUUACUAAGUUUUUUUUUGCUCAAAUGUAUGAUUUUACAUGUUAAUUACCUUCAACGCUAUGAAGGGUUUUAUUUGUAGAAAUGAUUUAAAAAAUAGUAUUUGCUUUUACUAUCUCUUUCUACCGUAGAAGUGACUAUUGGUUGUAAUUUAAAAUCUAAUCAAUUUUCAUCUCCUCACUUUUAAGAUGGUUUCAAUUUAGUACUUUUUUUUCCUUGGUUUGUAAAAUGUUCAUUUUUUUAUAGCCUAAGGGUAUUAAAGGCACUAAAAUAAUCUCUCUCCUCAAACAUGAAUUUUUUAAUAUUACUUUUAGUUAGAAGGGUUUCCAAUGUUACCAAAAUGUCAAUUCAAGGGGUGCUAAGUGAGAUUUUGAAAACCUCGAAGGAGCUAGGUGAUAUUUCAUAAAACCUCAGGGGAGGUUUAUGAAACUAUCCCAUGUAAAAACAAAACCAGGAGAAAAAACAAUAAUAAGUCCAAACAACGAACGAGUGACACGUGGCCCGAUAUUCCCCACACUCCUCAUCCAUCUAAUCUCAUAUCCCCAACACUCCAACAGACUCAACUCCGCCACACACAUUCACACACACACACCACUCUUUCCUCCUCCACUUCAUUUUUCCUUUGUAAAUAUCCGAAUCAAAAAUAAAACCAAAAAGAAUCGAAAAAUCAAAGAAUCGGAACCAGAAACUUAUCAACAAAACCUCUGUUCUCCCGGGAUGGCAGGCGUUCUCGAAACCCUAACCGUACCACGCGCCGCGUCUCUGCCCUCAGCUUCCUUGGCUCCCAUCCCCGGCUCUCCAUUCUCUACCAGCCGCAUCAGGUUUUCCGAGUUUAGAGGACUUAAGAUCCAGUCGACUAGGCCGUCGUCCUCCGCCUCGCUCAGUUCAAAUGCCAGACUCGCUCGCCGUGGAAGUCGAAUUGUUUGCGAAGCUCAGGAUACCGCUCUAGUAGGUUAGAUUAUUUCGAACUCUUUGCUUUUGCUUUUUAGAAACGGUUCUUUGUUUUUUAGCUUCUGUGUAUACUCAUGAUAUCUGAAAUCGAAGUUUAUAUUGAAUUGGAUUGUUUGUAGCUUCUUUGUUUAGGUUGAUUUUAAAAUAUGUGCUGGAAUUUGCGUGAAUCUGCUUGGCGAAUUUUAUGCAGGAGUUGAGGUGGUAAUUUCUGUUCGACUGUCGAACUUAAAUUUGAUUGAAGUGCGAAAUUCGCUUGUAGCUUAAUCCAAAGUCACUGGUAAUAUUCGCUUUUGAAAAUGUGACUGGAGAAUUGUGUAUCUACUGUCGUGCAACUCAAGAGUUAAUCAUAGCGAGAAUCUUUUCCCUCAGCAUCAUUCAGAGCAAGCUAGAAUUGUAGUCAGGAAAAGCAACUUGCAAUUGAGAAUUAUAGUAGCAGAUAAUUUGACUCGUUACACGCAUAUGGUCCGAGUCUUUCUCUAAUCUUAGUUAGGACGGUUACUAAUAAAUUGUAUUUGUAUUCAGUCUAUCUGGUUCCUGUCGUGGGGAGUUAUUCCUCCUUUUGGGAACUAAUUUUAUGGAAUUAUUAGUUUUAAGGGACUGUGUACAUUUCUGACCGUCUUAUAUGAAGAUCUCUAGGACGUUAUUGGUUAAGUUAGGGGCUUAUACGACUAUAAGCUAACUUCAAUUUGAUGUUUUCUUUUCCUGUUCUUUUGUUUGCUUUACGUUUUCAUUUGUAUGUUGUUUCCACAAACUUAGCUUACAUAGUAUAGUCCUUUCCCUGAAUAGUUGGAUUUUAAGGAGUUAUUGUGCUCAAAGUGCAAACUUCAUCUUAGAACUUCGCUGGAAACAUUUUAUAUAGAAAUGCAUUCUUAAGGUGGAAGAAUAGUUUCUUUAAAAAUAUCAGGCUCUGAAAUCAUUAUUGAAUUUGCAGACCCUGGGCGACAAUCUUUGUGAAUGACAUAAGCAGCCAAUUUUGUUUUUCUUGUGAGCUUCUUGUUUUGUAUGUCUAUUUAUGCUGUCUGAGAAUGCGUAAAUAGUGAAGAGUAGUUGCAGGAACCAAAUAUGCUCUCAUUAGACAUGUAGAAAAGAUUUAUCUGACAAUGGUAGGGCUUCCUAUUCUAGAGAAGAACUUUUUGGUAGUUUUUCCUUACCGGUGUUUGUAAGCAUAUCCCCUAUGUGUAUGUGUUGUCUUCUUCUGUAUCCACACUUAUGGUGUAUGUUGAAUCUGUAUUCUUCUUCAUAAUUGAUGAAUCAAAAUGGCAAACUAGUAUAGCUUAGAGCGCUGAUAAAAGUAAGAUUCUCGUCUUUUGAAUAGUGAUUUCUUGCAAUUCCAAUUGUGGCUACAGAGAGAAGUAUAUGGAAACAAAAAUGAUGGCUGGUGAUCUGCUCCUAUUCUCUAUGUUGGCUCUUGAAAAUGGAUCUGUUGUUGGUUAUUAUCUUAUCCUGUUUUGCAAUAUCUUUUUCCAAAGUCCAAGAGUUUAUGUGAUAUUGGCUUAGUGCUCAUAUAAGUUUUAAAACAAAUACAUUAUAAUUUGAUGCUUUCUCCUUCUUUAUCCAACCACCAAAUGAGAUGUUACUUUGAGAGGCAGGCGCUGGUGCUCUUUUAAGUUUCCGUCAGCGCGACCAUGGAUUUAGACUCUGGUUGAAGAAUUUCCGAUACAGAUAACCCUGUUCCAAAUUCAUGAUCUGCUACUCAAUUUCUAGGAUUUUUGUGGGAAACUGGUAAAUAAAAAUUUAAAAUUGUUCUUUGGUUCUUGAAUAAAUUGCAGUCCCACCUGUCAAGGAUGAUACGUGGCAGUCACUGGUACUAGAUUGUGAUUCACCUGUUCUGGUUGAGUUUUGGGCUCCAUGGUGUGGGCCAUGCCGCAUUAUUCACCCCGUAAUUGACGAGCUGGCUAAGGAGUAUGCUGGUAAACUUAAAUGCUACAAGGUUAAUACAGAUGAUUCCCCUGGAAUUGCAACUAAAUAUGGGAUCCGAAGCAUCCCAACUGUAAUGAUUUUCAAGAAUGGAGAAAAGAAAGACGCUGUCAUUGGUGCAGUUCCAAAACAAGUAUUGACUACUAGCAUAGAAAAAUUCUUGUAAAGUGGCGGGUAUCCUGUCCAUGAUGUUUCACGAGCAGAUUCAAUAAUCCUAAGAUGGUUCUGUAUAGAUGGAUGCUACUGCAUUCCCUAUUUGUAUUGAGAUAAUCUUGGUUACUAAAGUUUUUACAGUUUGACGUUGUCUUUUAGAAUUAAUUCUGUAUGCCUUUUUUUUUUUUUUUUUUUUUUUUUUUUUUUUUUUUUUUUGAGAAGAGGACAUCUCUCACUGUGAAAUUGGUUUUCCUCACUUUAAAGCUGCUUCUGCUAUUAUCUCCAAAAUACCUGCUGCACGUGGACAAAUGCAGGGGCAUUAUAGAGGCAUGCUUGCUAAACUACAGAAAUCUUUGAAGACUGGAGCAAGCCAUGCUACUCAUGUUCAGUGAAAUCCUGGUUCCUGUUUCCUUUUCACUUUUUUGUUGUCGAAUCUUACAUUGACAAAUUGGAGCAAACUUGACGAUACUUCGAAGUUCGAAUGAAUUUAGUACUUCGAAGUGAGGUGACUUUUUAGUAAAGAUUUAGGCUGGCCUCUCCCUCUGGGCUUUGUGACCAUGGAUGUGGGCUGGGUCUAGCUUUGUCAUUUGUAAAGGAAAAACUGCAGGAGCAGUUUUCUCCGCUACAUUUGCCUAUUUCACAAACGUGGGUAUUAUUAGCAACAUGUUGACGCUGAGGUCCGAGAGAGUCCAGUAACUAUUUCGGAACAACUUUUCAGUUUUCAUCCCUUAGAAAAAUUAUGAUCAAUAGUUCAAUUAUCAGGAUAGUCCUUUUUUUUUGGUGGAUGGAGAAGAGACCUACUCAUUGUACCCAAUAUUGCUUAUGUAUGGAAAUAGAAAUUAUGAAGGAUUAGCAUAGGACAACUUUUAUUCAAAUACCAAUAUUACCCUCAAUUAUUCAACGUCAUGUACUCCUAUUGAUUUUGUUGGGUCCAUUGUUGACUAGAUACCAUUUUCUUCCUCGUUUUCAAUAACAUAGCAUCAAGUUUUUUUUUUUUUAACUUUCCCUUUCAUUCCUGGCUUUUGAUAUCUUUUUUACAAUUUCUUUUGAUUUUUUUGAAAACCUUUGCAGUAUGUGGUUUAAGACCUUUUGCAUAAAAUUUUCUCCGCUUCAGAGUACUCUUAUUAUUUCUCUAUUGCUAUUGGUAAGUUUUUUCCUGCAUUUUUUCUUUUCUUUUUGCUUUUAUUCCAUUAUAUUUUCUAUCAAAUAAUCUAUGAUUACAGUUUUUGGAGUGAUCAUAAAUUUUGAUUAAAUUUGGGAUGCAAUUAUAGUAAAUUUCAAGUUCGCAAUUUUUUGAGUAAUAUUUGUUACAGCAAUAUUGUUGGAUUUUUUGUUUUCUUUUCUUUUUUCUAUUUUUUAAGUUGAUAAUUCUUGACUUCGUCACCUAUCCUUAUUUUCUAAUAUCUAGAUCAAAGUCAUUUUAAUCUACAUUUUUUGAAGGAAAAAGUGUGUCUACAUCUUGACUUCAACACGUGAAUAUUGAAGGAAAAGUGUACCUACACUUUUUUGGAUUAUUUUCAUUUGAACUGUUUGAGUUAAAUCAUGGUGUACGGUACCUACACUUUUUGGAUUAUCUUCACUUAGAGUGCUUGAGUUAAAUCAUGUUGUAUUUGCAAAAAAUAACUUAUAAACACAACUUUUAAAAAUAAAAAAAAGAAUUACAAUAUAAUAAAAGAUUAUGGUAAAAAAGUUAAAAUUGAAUGAGUGAGUUAUGAAAAUAACAAGUAAAUAAAUUAAAGAAAGCACAAAAAAAAAAAAUUUGCAGACUAGUCAAUUGAUUAGAAAGAGGAGAAAAGAGUAAUUAUUAGUAGAUAAAUGGGUCUAACAAAAUCAAUGAAAAUAUAUGAAGUUGAUAGGAAAAUAAAUUAUUGUUCUGACAGUAGUGUAUCACCAACCAACCAACCAAAACUUGCCGAGAAAGCUGGCUCAGGCAAAAAUGAUUGAAAGAUCUAAACAAAGAAGAGAAGGAUAAAGUCGGUUGCUAUCUUAUCUCCAUCAUCAACGAAGAGGGAAGCAGUAGGCUACCACUACCAGCACUCAACGUCAAAAACAGCUGGGCUGUAUGUUCAGACGUCGAAGUCUUAUCCAUGGGAGCGCUCACUCGCCUUUACUAUGCCCGCUAUACUACGUCACAUCAAGUUGUCAUUUUAAAUUGCAGGCGUUUACCCUGCUGCUGCAACCAUUAUAAUUAUUCUGUGCUUCUUCUUGUGAACCGAUAAGAUGAGGGAGAUCGAGUUUGGGACAAAAAUGGUUGUCAGCGAUCCUCAAUACAAUACAAUCAUGCCUCAACACUCUCUGUUAUAUGAUCGAGUUUCUUAUAAUGAUGUUCCCAUCCUACCACGUAAUCCAAUGGCAGCCAUGUAAAUGUUUCUCCUCUUCUUGACCGUCAAUUCUUGGCUUUGAAACUUUUUCUGUUUCAACGUCACCUGGGAGAAAAAAUCGAAUCCGAGGGUUCUGUUUGGAUUGUAAUUUUUAAAUUUUUUUUAUUAAAAAAUUAUUAUAAAAAUUUAAUAUUUAUAAGAUAAAAAAAUAAUUAAAAAAUAUAUUUACAAAAAAUAUAAUAAUUUUUUUUUUAAAAAAAAUGACUGUCCAAACAAAAUUUAUUUUGAACCCAUUACAUAAAUAUUUAGACCAUAGAAAUUCAGGUUAUAAAAAGGCCAAUCCUGUUCAUACAAGCUGCUUAGAAGCUUUUUGUUCAAAUAAUCUUCUAUUCAAACAGAACCUCUGAAGACGAGAAAACUUUCGGUUUUUGUCGGGGCAUCCACUCGUACGUUCUCGCCGACACGAAACAAAUGAAAGGACAAGAGCCGUCGGUCUCAUCCAUAUUGGGCGGUGAAAGAUUCCUUUCUGCGUUGUGUUACUGUGUUAGACGGCAGUCUCAUCUUAAUUAGUGUGGCCCUACUCUUAAGCCCUAAGGACAUCAUCCGUCUUCUGGUCUUAAGGUGCGUUUAGCCUCUCAGCUUUGGUUCUUCUCGCAUGAUCAGUAAAACGAUUAGUUUGGAAUUUUUUUUUUGGAUAUUUUAAGAAAAAUUAUUACAACAAUUUAAUAUAUAAAUAUAUAAAAUAAAAAAAUAAUUAAAAAAUGUGUUCAGAGAAAACGUAGUAAUUUUAACGUAGUAAUUUUUCAGAAAAAUUACUAUCCAAACAAGGCCUUUUUUCCAAGUAUUCAGAUUCUCAUUGUUGAAAUGAUAUUUUGAGGAAUGCGCAAAAAAGUAUUAAGAAAAGUAAUGCAUGAAUCCCUAAAGGCAAAAAUUUUGGCCUAAAUUCUUGUUUGUAUUGCUCAAAAAAGAUUUUGGUUAUUUUGAAAAUAUUUUUUCACGCCAUUAUAUCACAUCACAAAAACGUAAUAUUACAUUAUUAUUUUAGAAAACUACCAAAUACAAUCCAAACGGGGUCUUAAGAUUCCGUGCCAAUGUAAACACAUCCUGAGAUCAUGUUGUGCCAUGUGAUCGUUGAUUAGGAAGACAAUAAUAUGCUAAUACCUUUCCUCAUUCUUAUUCUUUAUGCUUCAGCACAUUUUCAAUGACGAGUGGCACGGUAAACUCGAUAACCAUAUACAUUUAUGCAUAGCCCUGUGUUGGUCACUUUAUUUAGGAAAAAGCCAGUUUAGAUAGCCAUUUUUCAUCAACAAUUUUUACGUAAACAUAUUUUUCAAUUAUCCUUUUAUGUCAUGCAUUUCAAAUUACUACGAUACAUUUUCUGAAAACCUAUCGCAAAUCAUUUUGUGAUGUGAUUAAUAUCACCAAAGCACACUUGUCAUUUCCGAUUGUGUUCAUCUUAGGAGUUUACAUGGAAAUUGCCCUAAGGAAAAAUGAUAAAAAGACGUUAAAAAUUGGCUCAAUUUUAAUUAGUUAUUUUUUAAGGUGUUUUUGAAAAAUUUUACUACAACAGAGUUUUUAAAAUAUAUUUUGAAAUAUUUUUAGAAUAUGUUUUAAAAUAUCUAAGAGUAAUAAAAUUUUUAAAGUAUAUUUUAAAUAUUAAAAAAAUAAAUUACAUUUUAGAGUGUUUUUUAAAAACUUUUUAUAAUAUUCGAAAAACUAGUGGAUUCAAAAUUAUUAGUAGCGUAGCAUAGCACCAGAAGUCAACAGGGUGACAUAAUGCUGACUUCACGGGUGACAGACGUCGUUAGAUCAAAAAUGAUCCGACGGUGCACAAAGCUUGGUGGAGUCCUACCCAUCCCUCCUUUUUCUUUUUCAUUUAAGUUAAGUUUUUUUUUUUUUUUGUUGCUUCCACCAAAGUGGUCCCCAUCCCGACCCCACCUAUAUAUUCAAUUUCUAAUUUCCCAACCUGCUCAUCACCAGAAAAAUGAAAAAAAAAAAAUUGCAUCUUUAAAAGGAGAUAAGCCUUUUCCUCAAUUCACUUAAUCAAGUUAGGAAUAAAAGGAGCAAAGCACGCCGCCUGCCCACUUUCAAGGGCCCACCCGUCUUUUCCACCAAUUAUCAAUUUUGUAGCUUCUACUUUUAUAUAUAUACACGUGUGUGUGUAGAUAUCAGUUAAUCUUAUAUAUAUUAUUACAAUUAAAUAUAUAAAAUAUAUGUAAAAUUUAGAUUUAAAUUAUAUAUUAUAUAUUUAAUGAUAAAAAUAUAUAUCAUUAGUAUAUAAAAGAUUAAUUAUAUACUAUAUAUUAAAAAAAUUGUAUGAUGAGUUCGUCAUUUUAAUUGGGUAUGUUUUUUCUGCACUUGAGUAACAUAAUAGAAAUAAUCAAGAAGUAGAUAACCAAGUACCGUAUUCAAUCUCUAAUUUCCCAACCUGCUCACCAUCAGAAAGAGGGAAAAAACAUGUACCAUAUUCAGGAAGUGGAUAGGCCUUGCCUUCUCUUCAAUUUACUUAAUCAAGUAGACAAGUACGCACAAGUUAGGAAGAAAUGCCUGCCCAAUCUCAAGGGCCCACCCGUCUUUUUCAUCGAAUUUGUAUUGUAGUUUCUUCUUUACACACACACACACACACAUAUAUAUAUAUACAUACAUACAUACAUACAUAUAAGCUUUUGCGACGAGUCCAUCUUUUUUAUUUGGUGUACUUUUUUCUGCUCUUAAUUAAAAUUAUAGAAAUUGAUUUUAAUGAAUUAAUAUUUUUUGAACUUUUCGACAACUUUAACAUGAUUCAUAUGGAUCAACGGCAUUGACAAUCAUAUAUGGGUGAAAAAUAAAUUUACUUCUACGUUUCAAUUUAGUGUCUUAAUUUGUGAAACUUUGUGGCUUUUAGAUGAAUUUUGUGAAUAGAGAAAAUAGAUUAAUUCGAGGCACUGAUCUAAAUCGAAUGAAAUGAACAAUUCUAUGAGGUUAAAUUUCGAGUCAUUAAUGAAUUAUAAAUAACGAGAAGAUCAAAAUCUUCAAACGCUAAAAUCCUGGUUAAUUUCAGAUAGAAGCAAAUUUUUUUUUAAUUUUAAAAAGGGAAAAAUUUAUAAAAUAAAUGUUUCUGUUAGUCUUUUUAAUAAAUUACUACUUGCAUAGGUUAAUUUGACAUAGACACACAGUUUUUUUACUUUAAAAACUUAUAAAAAAUAAAUGUUUCCGUUAGUCAUUUUAAUAAAUUACUACUUGCAUAAAUUAAAUGUUUGAGUGUGACACACAAAAUUGAAUAAUAUUUUGAGUCAUUUUUUUUGUUUGGAUAGUGAACUUACCCCAAAUAAUAUUUUGCUUGCAUCAUAAACACAUUUUUCAAUCCACUUUUUUAUAUUUCCAACUACCUUUUUAUCUCACAUACAUCACAUCACAAAAAGUACUACAGUAAUUAUUUAUUUGCCAAAAUAUAUUUGCUUACAUUAUCAUUACAAUUUCCAACACACCUUUUUAUUUUUUCAAUUACCUUUUUAUCUCACAUACAUCACAUCACAAAAAGUGCUACACUAAAAAUAUCUCUAAUAAUUCACAAUCCAAACAAAUUAAUAUUUUAAAUAAUAUCCUAUCCAAACAAACCCCCAGCUGACAAAAUAAAAGCUACUUCCAACAAGUCGAAAUUAACCCAAGAACAGUUAGAUUAUAAAUACUCAGAGGUAAUCAAAAUCCUGAUGCGUAGCACGAUCCAAAGGUAUUAAUUGAAAAAAUAAAAGCUACUAGACUUUACUAAUUUUGAUCACAAUUCUAGGCUCCUACCAUACCUGUGCCCACGGCAACCUAACAAACAGCUACGCGGCUAUAACCCUAUAUCGCCUUUGGGCUUUUAUAUUAAACAGCCAUUUUCAGUUUUUCACAAUCUUUUCAUUCAUUUCAUAUUUCUUCGCCACUAUUUGCUCUCCACCAUAUCAUUUCCACUCUCCCUCUUCGCCUCCUCCUCCUCCUCCUCCUCAUCCGCCACCACAUUCCAUCCUCCUUCCCCAUUUCCUGAACUUUUCCUCCCCUUAUAUCUUCCCCUUAAUUUUCCUCAUUUGAUCGGCCUCCCUUCACUAGCCCAUUUCAAUUUUACUUCCACAUUCAUUGAUUUCUUAUCUUAUCUUUAAAUACAGACGCAAAAUAUAAAAGAAAACCGGCCCCCUUUUCUCCUUAUAGACAUUGCAAAGUCUUCUUCAGCUUAUCUUCUUCUGACAUCUUGACUGGUAGGCUUUUCUUUCUUUAUGUCUGGCUUAUUUGUAUCCUUUUGUUUUCUGGGAAUUAUUCUCUUGUUAUACAGAUCAUUGGGAAUUAUGAGAGAAAAAUAUGAUCCGUUCUUUAUCUGAGAAAAAUUGAAAUGAAAAAGUGUUUGUGGCUUGUUUUGUAAGUUAUGGCACGGAUUUUUAGUUUAUUUGGUAAGAAAAGGAAUAACAUCUUGGUCAGAAUACUUCACUGUUUUUGUGAUGGCGAAAUUUGAUUUCCGCGAAAUUGAAGUUUGAUUAUUUCCGGACUAAAGGGAUUUCCUGGUUAGCUCACUCUUUUGUAUAUUUUGUUUCUUUUCCUUUAAUCCUAAAUAUAUCUGUAAAAUUAGCUAGAUUGUUAUAUUGAUAACAAGAAAAACAAAAUUUUGUUCAGCUGGUAAUUGAUAGUCCUCUGCCUCAUGAAGUAAAUUGAUUAAAAAAAAAAACCGUACUUUUUUUCUGAAAUGGUGCCUUGUGUUUUUUUUUUUGUCCCGGAUGAAAUUAAAUUUUCUUGCUUUUUGUUACAUAGUGCUGUUAGGAGGGCUUUGAAUGUUCCUUUCUUCAUGAAUUCUGGAUUUGGUGGUAGCUUAUGAUCUAUUGACUGCCGUGCUGGAAGAUCACGGUAAAGGUUUAUCUGUGUUUGUUGGUAGUCCUUUUUCUUUUUCUUUGGCGGUGUGUAUAUAUAUAUUGAUAAAAAGUUCUCAACUUUGGUAAAAUUUUUGGUGUUUCAACAGAGGUUACAUCACAAAUCACUAGAAAUACGGAUCUUAGAAUCCUUACCUAUGGUUAUUUUUGCUGCAUAAGCCUAUUGGAAGGACAAGACUUCUUGUAGGACAAAGUCGUUAUCUUCCAUCCGGACCUGGCAAAAUCUCAAGCUGUAUAUAGGGAAGGAGAGAGAGUGGGAGUGCAUUUAACUUUUGUUCUCGGACUAAAUUCGAUUCCAUUUUCUACUCCAUUUGCCCUAGGCACACUAUAGUUGCUUUUUCUUGUUGAGGGUCAAUUGGUAAUGAUGUAUGCUCAGUUGUCUUUAAAAGAAGGGAGACACUGGGACCAACGCAAUUCCUAUGUGGUUGCAUGUGUUGAAUAUGUUAUUAACUUGGGCCAUUCUGGCAUAGAUACAUGUCUUCAAGCCAUUGCCUUUCCUUUUACACCAAUAUAUAAUACAUUUGCUUUUAUCUCAUAGUGUUUAACAUCUUUGAAAAUUUUAUCUUUGUUUGAAUGCACUUCUACGCAUCUUUACUUUUUGUUGAUACUUUUGUUCAGACUUUUUGUGUUAUCUGCGUUUGACUAGGUUAAGAUGCCCUAGAUUUCCUCCAAUAUGUCCCCCAAUUUCUUGUUGACCUCAACCUGUUAUGGCUUUUCUUGGCUGCGCAUAUCCGUGCCCCUAUUUGGAUGAUCUACUAAUCGAAUGUCUCUGUCUUGUCAAGUAACUAAUUUAUUGUUGUCUAUCAAG
RNAcentral lists this long non-coding RNA (31422 nucleotides) under Coffea arabica (coffee). RNAcentral's name for it is "long non-coding RNA (CARA_LNC003907)". The record is from RNAcentral. Lineage: Eukaryota; Viridiplantae; Streptophyta; Magnoliopsida; Gentianales; Rubiaceae.